CUGGUUGAUCCUGCCAGUAAUCAUAUGCUUGUCUCAAAGACUAAGCCAUGCAUGUCUAAGUCCAAGCUGUGUUCACACGGCGAGACCGCGGACGGCUCAUUAAAUCAGUCGUGGUCCAUAUGGGCCAGUGUUGAUCCUACUUGGAUAACUGUGGUAAUUCCAGAGCUAAUACAUGCAACUCUUAUUCUGAUGUAUGGUCGGUCGGUUCUCUCUCGUAGGGUCCGAUUGUUCUCCGCUGACGAAUGCUUUUAUUAGACCAAACCGCUGGGGAUGUGGGUCUUUCUUCCGAGAGAUUCACGUUUGACCCGACAUAUGGUGACUCUGAAUAACCUUUUGACGAGCGCACGUAUCCCUCUUAUGAGCGGAACGGCGCUGCCACUUUCGAGUGUCUGCCUUAUCAGCUAUCAAUCGUUCGUUAUGCGCGACCGAUGGCUUUGACGGGUAACGGGGAAUCAGAGUUCGAUUCCGGAGAGGCAGCCUGAGAGACGGCUACCACGUCCAAGGACGGCAGCAGGCACGCAAAUUACCCAAUCCCAGUACCUGGGGGAGGUAGUGACGAAAUCUAACGAUGCGGGCGCCCUUUCUGGGGCCCCGCAAUCGGAAUGGGCACUUUCUAAACAACCUGUUGAGAACCUACUGAAGGGCAAGUCUGGUGCCAGCAGCCGCGGUAAUUCCAGCUUCAGCAGCAUCUAUUAAAGUUGCUGCGGUUAAAAGGCUCGCAGUUGAAUGUCAGUAACGGGCGCAGUGAAGGUGGACGCU
RNAcentral lists this ribosomal RNA (759 nucleotides) under Gammarellus angulosus. RNAcentral describes it as "bacterial SSU rRNA". It matches the Rfam family "Eukaryotic small subunit ribosomal RNA", at positions 4 to 670 of the family's 1831-position model. The record is from RNAcentral. Lineage: Eukaryota; Metazoa; Arthropoda; Malacostraca; Amphipoda; Gammarellidae.